GAUGAACGCUGGCGGCGUGCUUAACACAUGCAAGUUGAACGAAGUGGCGGAUGGGCGAGUAACACGUGAGGAACCUGCCUUUCACAGGGGAAUAACACUGGGAAACCAGUGCUAAUACCGCAUAGUGAAAGAUGGCCUCGCGCCUGAUUAGCUAGUAGGUGAGGUAACGGCUCACCUAGGUGAUGAUCAGUAGCCGGACUGGAGGUUGACAGGCCGAUGGGGGACGGAGACACGGCCCAGACCCCUACGGAAGGAAGAAGUGGGGAAAAUUGGGCAAUGGCGAAAGCCUGACCCAGCAACGCCGCGAAAAGAAAGAGGGUCUUCGGAUUGUAAACUUCUUAGACAGGGACGCGGUACCUGUAGAAUAAGCCACGGCUAACUACGUGCCAGCAGCCGCGGUAAUAC
Molecule: ribosomal RNA, 405 nt
Filed under: uncultured bacterium
Lineage: Bacteria
Description: partial 16S ribosomal RNA
Rfam family: Bacterial small subunit ribosomal RNA
Source: RNAcentral